This 218-nucleotide ribosomal RNA is filed under the name Arabidopsis thaliana (thale cress). Lineage: Eukaryota; Viridiplantae; Streptophyta; Magnoliopsida; Brassicales; Brassicaceae. The record is from RNAcentral.
CUAGAUGGGGUAUCCCUACAUAGCGGGUGGGACCCACGGCGAAUGGUUCAUCAAGUCUUCAAAAAAGAAUAUAUACGAUUGCAUUGCAAAUACUAACGGAUGCGAUCAUACCAGCACUAAUGCACCGGAUCCCAUCAGAACUCCGCAGUUAAGCGUGCUUGGGCGAGAGUAGUACUAGGAUGGGUGACCUCCCGGGAAGUCCUCGUGUUGCAUCCCUC